GAUGAACGCUGGCGGCGUGCCUAAUACAUGCAAGUCGAACGAACAGGCGAUGCUCUUGCGCCGCUCACGUUUGCGGCAGACGGGUGAGUAACGCGUGUAUAACCUCCCUGUCAUACUGGUAUAUCUUCGAAAAACCGGAUCUAAUACCGUAUAAGAUAUUGACCCACGUGGUUCAAUAGUGAGAUUCGGUGUUGCGGUCACGUAUAGAUGGAUCCGGGCCGCAUGAGCUAGUUGGGAAGGUAAAGGCUUACCACGGCAACGAUGCGUAGCCGAGCUCAGAGAGUGAUAGGCCACACUGGAGCUGAACCACGGUCAAGACUACUACGGGAGGCACCAGUAGCGAACCGUCCGCAAUGGGCGAAAGCAUGACGGAGCAACGCGGCGUGAGUGACGAAGGUGUUGGGAUCGUAAAACUGUGUUAUGAGGUAAGAACAAAUGUGUACGUAACUAUGCACGGCUUGACGGUAAUUAAUAAGAAAGCAACGGCUAACUACGUG
Molecule: ribosomal RNA, 497 nt
Filed under: uncultured bacterium
Lineage: Bacteria
Description: partial 16S ribosomal RNA
Rfam family: Bacterial small subunit ribosomal RNA
Source: RNAcentral